GGACGUGAGGACGAUCUGGCUGCGGCAUCUGUCACCCCAUUGAUCGCCAGGGUUGAUUCUGCUGAUCUGGCUGGCUAGGCGGGUGUCCCCUUCCUCCCUCACUGCUCCACGUGCCCCUCCCUCCCUCUGUCGAAGAGGACGGCCUUCCCUGAAUAGAGACUGUCAUUCAUUGUUGGAUAGGA
RNAcentral lists this small nuclear RNA (182 nucleotides) under Erinaceus europaeus (western European hedgehog). RNAcentral describes it as "7SK RNA". It matches the Rfam family "7SK RNA". Rfam says of the family: 7SK was discovered as an abundant small nuclear RNA in the mid-70s but a possible function has only recently been suggested. Lineage: Eukaryota; Metazoa; Chordata; Mammalia; Eulipotyphla; Erinaceidae. The record is from Rfam by way of RNAcentral.